CAGGGUGACAUUUACGGCCGGGUCCGACCUGAUCCCAUCCCGAACUCAGAAGUCAAAACGGUUCGUGCCGAUGAUAGUCAUACGCAUGUAUGUGCGAAAGUAGGUAGUUGCCCGCU
Molecule: ribosomal RNA, 116 nt
Filed under: Patescibacteria group bacterium
Lineage: Bacteria
Source: RNAcentral